GGGCGGGGGCUUACCAUGCAGUCGAGCGGAUGAGAGGAGCUUGCUCCUCGAUUCAGCGGCGGACGGGUGAGUAAUGCCUAGGAAUCUGCCUAGUAGUGGGGGACAACGUUUCGAAAGGAACGCUAAUACCGCAUACGUCCUACGGGAGAAAGUGGGGGAUCUUCGGACCUCACGCUAUUAGAUGAGCCUAGGUCGGAUUAGCUAGUUGGUAGGGUAAAGGCCUACCAAGGCGACGAUCCGUAACUGGUCUGAGAGGAUGAUCAGUCACACUGGAACUGAGACACGGUCCAGACUCCUACGGGAGGCAGCAGUGGGGAAUAUUGGACAAUGGGCGAAAGCCUGAUCCAGCCAUGCCGCGUGUGUGAAGAAGGCCUUCGGGUCGUAAAGCACUUUAAGUUGGGAGGAAGGGCUCAUAGCGAAUACCUGUGAGUUUUGACGUUACCAACAGAAUAAGCACCGGCUAACUUCGUGCCAGCAGCCGCGGUAAUACGAAGGGUGCAAGCGUUAAUCGGAAUUACUGGGCGUAAAGCGCGCGUAGGUGGCUUGAUAAGUUGGAUGUGAAAUCCCCGGGCUCAACCUGGGAACUGCAUCCAAAACUGUCUGGCUAGAGUGCGGUAGAGGGUAGUGGAAUUUCCAGUGUAGCGGUGAAAUGCGUAGAUAUUGGAAGGAACACCAGUGGCGAAGGCGACUACCUGGACUGACACUGACACUGAGGUGCGAAAGCGUGGGGAGCAAACAGGAUUAGAUACUUGUUG
This 755-nucleotide ribosomal RNA is filed under the name Ectopseudomonas oleovorans. Its description in RNAcentral is "bacterial SSU rRNA". It matches the Rfam family "Bacterial small subunit ribosomal RNA", at positions 37 to 792 of the family's 1533-position model. Lineage: Bacteria; Pseudomonadati; Pseudomonadota; Gammaproteobacteria; Pseudomonadales; Pseudomonadaceae. The record is from RNAcentral.